This 27-nucleotide small RNA is filed under the name Bombyx mori (domestic silkworm). Its description in RNAcentral is "piRNA piR-bmo-1472242". The record is from RNAcentral. Lineage: Eukaryota; Metazoa; Arthropoda; Insecta; Lepidoptera; Bombycidae.
UAGAGUUGGUGGCAAUGUCUUUGUAGC